ACGCUCGACACCUACGGGAGGCAGCAGUGGGGAAUAUUGCACAAUGGGGGAAACCCUGAUGCAGCGACGCCGCGUGAAGGAUGAAGUAUUUCGGUAUGUAAACUUCUAUCAGCAGGGAAGAAAAUGACGGUACCUGACUAAGAAGCCCCGGCUAACUACGUGCAGCAGCCGCGGUAAUCUGAGCGGGCUGGCAAGGC
RNAcentral lists this ribosomal RNA (197 nucleotides) under uncultured bacterium. RNAcentral describes it as "partial 16S ribosomal RNA". It matches the Rfam family "Bacterial small subunit ribosomal RNA", at positions 328 to 539 of the family's 1533-position model. The record is from RNAcentral.